AUCUCUACAAAGGCAGAAGCUAAAAGACAGAUUAUUUACUCACCGCUUCCUCCCCAUGAUUCUUUUGCUUUCUGCAGCCUUCUUCAUAGGAAGUGCAUUUAUAGUCACGGACCAUAAAGAGAGAAUUCUAGGAUGGGGGUCAAUUAUGGUUUUGCAGUACACAAGACCUAAGAUCUGUGAGACCCAGUGCAGGGCUUAUGGAAGUGAAGCAUUGGUUAGAGGAAUCAUUUCCGAGA
Molecule: long non-coding RNA, 236 nt
Organism: Hibiscus syriacus
Lineage: Eukaryota; Viridiplantae; Streptophyta; Magnoliopsida; Malvales; Malvaceae
Exons: 3
Source: RefSeq, a predicted model, not a curated record